RNAcentral lists this ribosomal RNA (487 nucleotides) under uncultured bacterium. RNAcentral's name for it is "partial 16S ribosomal RNA". It matches the Rfam family "Bacterial small subunit ribosomal RNA", at positions 899 to 1397 of the family's 1533-position model. The record is from RNAcentral.
ACUCAAAUGAAUUGACGGGGACCCGCACAAGCGGUGGAGCAUGUGGUUUAAUUCGACGAUAAGCGAAGAACCUUACCGAGGUUUGACAUCCCUGGAAAGCCCUGGAAACAGGGCCGUGCCGCAAGGAACCAGGUGACAGAUGCUGCACGGCUGUCGUCAGCUCGUGCUGUGAAGUGUACGGUUAAGUCCGUAAACGAGCGCAACCCUUAUUGUAUGUUGAAUUUUUCAUACAAGACUGCCGGCGUUAAGUCGGAGGAAGGUGGGGAUGACGUCAAGUCAGCGUGGCUCUUACACCUCGGGCCACACACGUGCUACAAUGGGUAUUAACAAUGGGUUGCUAAGCCGCGAGGCGGAGCUAAUCCCACCAAACAUACCCCCAGUUCGGAUUGAAGGCUGCAACUCGCCUUCAUGAAGCCGGAAUCGCUAGUAACCGCCGGUCAGCCAUACGGCAGUGAAUACGUUCUCGGGUCUUGUACACACCGCCCGU